RNAcentral lists this ribosomal RNA (440 nucleotides) under uncultured bacterium. RNAcentral describes it as "partial 16S ribosomal RNA". It matches the Rfam family "Bacterial small subunit ribosomal RNA", at positions 338 to 795 of the family's 1533-position model. The record is from RNAcentral.
CCUACGGGUGGCAGCAGUGGGGGAUAUUGCACAAUGGGGGAAACCCUGAUGCAGCGACGCCGCGUGUGGGAAGACGGUCCUCUGGAUUGUAAACCACUUUCCCCAGGGACGAAGAUGACGGUACCUGGGGAGGAAGCUCCGGCUAACUACGUGCCAGCAGCCGCGGUAAUACGUAGGGAGCGAGCGUUGUCCGGAAUUACUGGGUGUAAAGGGCGCGUAGGCGGGACUGCAAGGUGGGUGUAAAAUCUACGGGCUCAACCGGUAGCCGCACUCAAAACUGCAGUUCUUGAGUGAAGUAGAGGCAGGCGGAAUUCCUAGUGUAGCGGUGAAAUGCGUAGAUAUUAGGAGGAACACCAGUGGCGAAGGCGGCCUGCUGGGCUUUUACUGACGCUGAGGCUCGAAAGUGUGGGGAGCAAACAGGAUUAGAUACCCCAGUAGUC